CCGCCUUCACGAUGGUGCUUCUCCGGUGCCCCGUAGUCGACCAAACCCCCUACCCCGAAAUCCUCAUCUUGUAAACUUUCAGUAUGAGAUUGGAGUUUUGUUUUGAAAUGGUGUCCCGUUGUGUUCAUCUGGCCCUUUGUGUUCGCUUGCUUCGCGUGUAUACAUUUCUUGAGCUUAGCCCCCGAACACUUAUGUGAUUUGCUAAGGUCUCUACCCGCCUAGGAGCUAUGGCACCGUCUCGUCCAUAUUUUUUGUUGCAGCCCUGAGGUCGUCCGAUC
Molecule: long non-coding RNA, 278 nt
Filed under: Setaria viridis
Lineage: Eukaryota; Viridiplantae; Streptophyta; Magnoliopsida; Poales; Poaceae
Description: long non-coding RNA (SVIR_LNC008272)
Source: RNAcentral